CUUGUCGCGUCUCUCGACACACCGCAUGGGUAGUAAUAUGUGAGCGACCUGAAGCAGAAAUGCUAGACAGUACAUUAAGUGCUAAACGUGACCCAGCGUAACUUUUCCUAAACUGGCCCUCAGCCGUAAUUUCUACGACGAGUUAGAUUAAAUAUAGGCACUCUGGAUGACGGAGCAGGAGAAGGAGUCUCGACUUAUCGCUUUUCCGAUUGAUGUUCGGGUCCUUACUGAAGCAUCAAUGUGUGCUUGUCUACGCCCAGAUUCAAAUCUACAGUUUUUCCGAGCGCUGGCCAAUUGUCAGCUGCGACUCCGGUCGGUUCAUGGAUUUAGGGAAAAACAACAAAGGAACUGAAAAAAUGGUC
Varroa destructor (honeybee mite) is the source of this 362-nucleotide long non-coding RNA. NCBI's taxonomy places the organism in Eukaryota, Metazoa, Arthropoda, Arachnida, Mesostigmata, Varroidae. The record is from RefSeq and is a predicted model, not a curated record.